GAUGAACGCUGGCGGCGUGCUUAACACAUGCAAGUCGAACGAUGAAGCCCAGCUUGCUGGGUGGAUUAGUGGCGAACGGGUGAGUAACACGUGAGUAACCUGCCCUUAACUCUGGGAUAAGCCUGGGAAACUGGGUCUAAUACCGGAUAGGAGCGUCCACCGCAUGGUGGGUGUUGGAAAGAUUUAUCGGUUUUGGAUGGACUCGCGGCCUAUCAGCUUGUUGGUGGGGUAAUGGCUCACCAAGGCGACGACGGGUAGCCGGCCUGAGAGGGUGACCGGCCACACUGGGACUGAGACACGGCCAAGACUCCUACGGGAGGCAGCAGUGGGGAAUAUUGCACAAUGGGCGCAAGCCUGAUGCAGCGACGCCGCGUGAGGGAUGACGGCCUUCGGGUUGUAAACCUCUUUCAGUAGGGAAGAAGCGAAAGUGACGGUACCUGCAGAAGAAGCACCGGCUAACUACGUG
Molecule: ribosomal RNA, 466 nt
Filed under: uncultured bacterium
Lineage: Bacteria
Description: partial 16S ribosomal RNA
Rfam family: Bacterial small subunit ribosomal RNA
Source: RNAcentral